UUGGUCAUUUAGAGGAAGUAAAAGUCGUAACAAGGUCUCCGUUGGUGAACCAGCGGAGGGAUCAUUACCGAGUUUACAACUCCCAAACCCCUGUGAACAUACCAAUUGUUGCCUCGGCGGAUCAGCCCGCUCCCGGUAAAACGGGACGGCCCGCCAGAGGACCCCUAAACUCUGUUUCUAUAUGUAACUUCUGAGUAAAACCAUAAAUAAAUCAAAACUUUCAACAACGGAUCUCUUGGUUCUGGCAUCGAUGAAGAACGCAGCAAAAUGCGAUAAGUAAUGUGAAUUGCAGAAUUCAGUGAAUCAUCGAAUCUUUGAACGCACAUUGCGCCCGCCAGUAUUCUGGCGGGCAUGCCUGUUCGAGCGUCAUUUCAACCCUCAAGCUCAGCUUGGUGUUGGGACUCGCGGUAACCCGCGUUCCCCAAAUCGAUUGGCGGUCACGUCGAGCUUCCAUAGCGUAGUAAUCAUACACCUCGUUACUGGUAAUCGUCGCGGCCACGCCGUAAAACCCCAACUUCUGAAUGUUGACCUCGGAUCAGGUAGGAAUACCCGCUGAACUUAAGCAUAUCAAUAAG
RNAcentral lists this ribosomal RNA (575 nucleotides) under uncultured fungus. RNAcentral describes it as "eukaryotic LSU rRNA". The stretch from base 216 to 369 matches the Rfam family "5.8S ribosomal RNA". The record is from RNAcentral. Lineage: Eukaryota; Fungi.